This 466-nucleotide ribosomal RNA is filed under the name uncultured bacterium. RNAcentral's name for it is "partial 16S ribosomal RNA". It matches the Rfam family "Bacterial small subunit ribosomal RNA", at positions 28 to 507 of the family's 1533-position model. The record is from RNAcentral.
GACGAACGCUGGCGGCGUGCUUAACACAUGCAAGUCGAACGGAAAGGCCCUGCUUGCAGGGUACUCGAGUGGCGAACGGGUGAGUAACACGUGGGUGAUCUGCCCUGCACUUCGGGAUAAGCUUGGGAAACUGGGUCUAAUACCGGAUAGGAGCCAUCUUUAGUGUGGUGGUUGGAAAGUUUUUUCGGUGUAGGAUGAGCUCGCGGCCUAUCAGCUUGUUGGUGGGGUAAUGGCCUACCAAGGCGGCGACGGGUAGCCGGCCUGAGAGGGUGUACGGCCACAUUGGGACUGAGAUACGGACCAGACUCCUACGGGGGGCAGCAGUGGGGAAUAUUGCACAAUGGGCGCAAGCCUGAUGCAGCGACGCCGCGUGGGGGAUGAAGGCCUUCGGGUUGUAAACUCCUUUCGCUAGGGACGAAGCUUUGUUGUGACGGUACCUAGAUAAGAAGCACCGGCUAACUACGUG